Non-coding RNA from Macaca mulatta (Rhesus monkey), 4148 nucleotides. The record is from RefSeq and is a predicted model, not a curated record. Lineage: Eukaryota; Metazoa; Chordata; Mammalia; Primates; Cercopithecidae.
UGUAGUAUACAUUUGUCAUUUUUGGCUGCACAUCUUUUGAAAACCCACCUGCAUUUUUGUAUUUACCACAAGAUAAAUUCUGUUUUCUUAAGAUACAAUUUUAAAACUGCAUUUCCCAGCUUUUCUUGUGCCCAGAAUUACAGGUGGGGACCAGUUUCCAGUAGUCAUUUCCACCUACAUAUGUCUUCAAUUUGGAAGUGAUCAAAUAGGAAAAAGCUCUGGCAGAGCACACUUUUUUUUUCUGGUGGCUGUGGAGUUGGCAGUGUCAUAGGUUGCUUCUCCCUUGGGACUGUUUUUGAAGCAAUUCAGAAAUUGGCAAUAGACUAGGGAUAUUGUUCUGGUGAACUUAGCCUGUUUAUUACCCUAGCACAAUCAAUGAGUAUACAUGCUACCUAGUAUCUUUAAUAAAUAUCUAUUCUGCUUAAUCUGGGUGGAAUGAAUGUGUUUCCUUGCAACUAAGGUUAUUUAAUAGAAUAAUUUGUACUAAAAGUGCAAGGAACCCUCAAGGAAAUAAGUAUCUGGGAUUCAUUAUCUGGCAGGUUGGAUUUGAAAGCUCUGAGAAUACAAUUAGUUCUAGAGAAAAGAGCACUGGCACCCAUGGCAUACUGAAAUGAAACACUUGCUUAUAUUUAUCAUCUGUGCUCUUGGUUACCUGGAAUAAUGUUAUUAUAGAAGGCAAGGAAGUAGGAGAGCUUAUGCUUAGAAAAGUACAAUGGGCAUGAAGAACAUAAGAGCUAUAGGGUGACUUGGCUACUUCUAAAUGUGCUUAAGCUUUGAAAGAAAGGAAACAACACCUUAAAGUUUUAAAUUCUCAGCUCAACAUAAUAAAAAAGCCAGGGCGAUAAAAUGAUUACCCUAAAAUUAGCUCUCCUCUCUGUAUGGCUGAUGAAACUGAAAAUUAAAUGCACAGUCUAAUGCUGUGGUUUCUCAAUUACAUCAGUUGAAUUCUAAUGAUACCAUGACUCUUACUGAAAGUUAAGACACUUCCAUGGAAUUGUAAUUGAAACAGAUGGGAAAACCCUGAAAACUCAGAGUACUUUGAACACUCAAAUUUACUAAACAUCCCUUAGAAGAAGAAAUAGCUUUUUCUCCAGUCUUGAAUGGGUUGUUCCUGCUUCCCUGAAAACCAUGUAAGCACAUUGCCUGAGGCAGUUACCUCAGGAGGUAGUAUAACUUUCUUCAUAACUCAUUCCUGACACUUUGCAAUGCCUUGGACCCAAAGCUAGUGUCAGAGUUCAGAGUGCUCCAAAAAGCUAGGGCAAAAUUAAACCCAGAAAGAAAAGGCUUACCCACCAAAGGAAAAGAAAAGCAGUGUUUUGACAAGUUAUAUUGGCAAAUACCUGCAGGAAUAUAUGUGAGAAAGCAUUUUAAGGUACUAAAGCAGAACAAAUGAAAUAUAAUGCAUAUGGAAGCAACGUUUUAAAUAUGGGUCCAGAAAAAGGAAAAUACGUGAUUUCUAGAAACCAUAAAAACAGACACAAGCAGCUUUGAAAAGUGUGCAGUAUCUAUUCCCUACAGGAUGAAAACAAAGGUGGGAGAUGCUGCCAUUAAUAUGAGCCUCAUUAGCAGCACUUAACCACAUUGUGAUAAUCAGAGUGCUUUGACACACACUUUGCCUUGCUGAUUGAUUAGGGGGUCCCUGGGUCUGAAAACGUUGUGUAACCAUUAAGGUCCCACUUGAUCUGUAUAAGUAACACAAAAAGAAAUAAACAAACAAAAACAGCAGCAACAAAUAAGCCUAGAAAACAGAUUUCCAGGAUUGUGCCUCCAUGCCAUGACUCCGAGUCAAGUCACAACACAGAAUUUCUUGAAUGAAGAGUAGGCUGGGAAUUCUUGAGGAAGAACCCAUAACCAACCCACUCCUGGGAUAAUGGUAUUAAUUUAUUGAUGAAGGCAGAGCCCUUAUGACAUACUUACUUCUUAAAGUAAGUAAAGGUCCUAGCUCUUAAUACUGUCACAAUGGCAAAUAAACCUCAACAUGAGUUUUUGAGGGAACAUUUCAACCAUAGCACCUGUAGACACCUACUUUUUCUUUCUUGGUGAUCAUGGAAAUGUUUAUAUAUUAACAUUUCCCAUGCUCUACCUUUUCUAAUAAUUAUUAUAAUUUUCCAUAGGUUAGAAAAUACCCAGAAAAAAAUGUGAAUAAAUCAGAGGAGAAAUGGACAUUACCCAGAUGUCAGGCUUGAAGCUUCAUAAAGUAACUGAAGAGAAUUUGGAAAACAAGGUUCUUCUUGGAAUCUUCCUAAUGUUUCAGGCCUAAUGUUUCAUUCACCUCAUGAUACUCUUCUAGGGAGUGUAAUAUGUACCUUCUUUGACAAAUCACACUUGGGCCAGUCUGCAGGAUGCGCAGAAGCACUCCUGGCUGCUCUUGUAAAGAACCGGAUCUAAAGAAAAGGGCAAGCCUCAAAGAUGGAGAGGAUACAGUGGAGGAUUCAGAGGUUGUAGAAGAUGGUGGAGUCUCUGGAUGGAAGGAAGCUGGGUCUCUGAAUCACAAAGUGAAAGACCACUCACCAAACGCCUUAUUGGACAAUGACAUGAAUGAGAACUAAAACCUUUAUAAUUGUAACUCACUAAUAGUUGGGGUUGAUUGUUAUGAUAGCUAGUCUACCUAGACCAAUAGAGCCAAUUCCUAAUAAUAUCAUCUUGGAAGGGUAGGAUGAAGCCUGAUUAUGCAAAGCGAUGAAAAUGACAUAUAUUGAGUAUCAAGGAAAAUUGAAAUCUUUGACAAAGUGGAAUUGCCAUCUCUGAAAACAGUUCUUUUAACUAAAAUACGCCAAUGUAUUAGCAAUUCUUCUUUGAACUAAAUAGAUUGGCACUUUUUGGACCUGAGAUGUGAAACUCUGCCCUAAGUUAGGAUUCAUCUUUCAAUUCAAAUAGCAGUGUCAAUAGGAAAGCAAGUUGGCUGUUUGUGCUUAGCACCACCUGGCUGCAGUUACAUCACUCAGCACUAAACAUGCUGGCUGUGUCAGAUUUGAGUACUGUCAUUCUGAUGAAGUGGGGAGUGUGUUGCCCUGGUAGGAAGCCUUUUAAAUUGAAUGACAAGGUUUUUCUUAUUUGUUACAUCCCCAGGCCAUUGUCAAAUCAUAUAAUGCCAGCCCAGGAAAGUAAUUACAGAACUGUUGUGAGGCUGUUAGCAGCUGCUUUUCAUUUUUCCCCAUUGUGACUGGGAUGUGGUGGAGAAAAACUGGGAUGACUAAGAACCACAACAUAAAUGCCACCCAAUCUGCUGGCCAGUCACAUAUGGCACUUACUUUCAACCAAAGGGAAAAGAGGAGGUCGUUAGAUGUAAGACUGAAAUGUCGUUAGAUGUAAGAGCUGAAUAUAAUGCAGAAUCUACAGCAAAUUAUCACAGAACAAGGUGUGAGGAUAGGUGGAUUCCAUUUAUUAAAGCGUUAUGGAAAUCAUUAGGCCACAAAGUCUAAUUUCUAAAAACAAAAUUCUGUGUUGAUCCCAUUAAGAAAUCCCUCUUCCUCCUAGUUGCUACUUUUCUUUUAGCAUUUUCCUUAUUUUUGUGUAAGAAUUACAGUGACCUUUGGUUAAUAACAUGUUACUCAAAGUUUCCAACAAUAAAUUUAGAUUCUCAUAAAAAAGCAACUGCUAAGAUAUAUGAAGGGGAAAUCAACAUUAUUUAAUGUGUUUUAAUCUUACCAUAUUACCUUAAUUUGAUUCUUUGUAAUAAGAACCUUAUAAGUUAUCCAGUACUUAUUUUCAAAGUUAAUUUAUUUCCUAAACUCCAGUUUGUGAAGAAUGGCAGACAUUUGAUAAGCUGAUUUAAAGUAAAAACAGCUGUAGGUGACAGAAUUGGCAUGAACAGGAUUACAGGACAUAGGAAGCUUUUUCCUCACCAAAAAGGGGAAACCUGAAUGCUGAUGGGACUGCUGGAAAAGAUCCCUUCACUAUCGACAAGUAGCCACCUGCACUUUUUAGUGUCCCUGCAAUGGGUUCUGUUGGCCUAGAGGUCUUAGCUCCAGAGAGAAGAAUGCUACCAUCAGGAGACACAACAAUAAUUCCAUUAAACUGGAAGUAAGAUUGCCACCUGGACACUGGCCUCCUCCUACCUCUAUAUCAACAGGCUAAGAUGGGAGCUACAGUAUUGGCUGGAGUGAUUGACCCAGAAUAUCAAAAUGACAUCAGUCUACUUCUCCAUA